Molecule: ribosomal RNA, 497 nt
Filed under: uncultured bacterium
Lineage: Bacteria
Description: partial 16S ribosomal RNA
Rfam family: Bacterial small subunit ribosomal RNA
Source: RNAcentral
GAUGAACGCUGGCGGCGUGCCUAAUACAUGCGAGUCGAGCGAACAGACGAGGAGCUUGCUCCUCUGACGUUAGCGGCGGACGGGUGAGUAACACGUGGAUAACCUACCUAUAAGACUGGGAUAACUUCGGGAAACCGGAGCUAAUACCGGAUAAUAUAUUGAACCGCAUGGUUCAAUAGUGAAAGACGGUUUUGCUGUCACUUAUAGAUGGAUCCGCGCCGCAUUAGCUAGUUGGUAAGGUAACGGCUUACCAAGGCAACGAUGCGUAGCCGACCUGAGAGGGUGAUCGGCCACACUGGAACUGAGACACGGUCCAUACUCCUACGGGAGGCAGCAGUAGGGAAUCUUCCGCAAUGGGCGAAAGCCUGACGGAGCAACGCCGCGUGAGUGAUGAAGGUCUUCGGAUCGUAAAACUCUGUUAUUAGGGAAGAACAAAUGUGUAAGUAACUAUGCACGUCUUGACGGUACCUAAUCAGAAAGCCACGGCUAACUACGUG